UUUUCUGCUCCAACCCCACUUCCCUUUGUUCAUCUACAGAGUUCGCAGGCUACAAACACUGUGGUCCUGACUGUGUGGACCUGUCCUUGACUGCAAAUCAUCUUCUUCCAGUACCCACCACUCAAGAGCUUCUUAAGUUGACAUGGACUGAAUUAUUCCCCGAUGGACCGUGUGUGACGGAGCAUGAGCAGUGUACAGAGUGUGUUUAACUUUGGAAGAGGCGGAUGCAGUCCGUGAAGGUCUGGACAGCUGGAAAGAGCCAAUGUCAAGCUGUCUAGGGAGGGUCUUUUGAGUGUUUCCCCAGGUGAAACUGGAUCUUGAGGAGCGUAUAAGAAAACUCCGUGUGCUCGCAGAUGAUGUUGACAGGGUACACAAGAACUGCACCAUCUCCAACAUGGUAGCCGGCUCUGCUGGAGUUGCAUCUGGCCUCCUGACCCUCCUUGGUCUGGGUCUGGCCCCUGUAACAGGAGGUGCCAGUCUGACACUCUCGGCAACUGGAGCAAGGGUGGGAACCGCAGCUGCUGUGACCCAAGUGUCUACCAGCAUCGUGGAAUACUCAAGUAAAUUCGUUCAAGCCCUACAAAACAUUGCAUAGAAUGUUCGUGACAUCAAGGUCGUCAGAGUCAAACCUCGCCUAGCAGAUGAUGCCAGGUGCGUCAUGACAGCUCAGAGUGUCUCAGUUCGAAGUGGCAGCCAGGUGAUAAAAGCUUUUAGAGGUAGUGCUCUGGCAGUGACCAAAGGAGCCCGGAUCAUGGGUGCGGCCACCCCAGGUACCUAUCUUGCAAUGGAUGUGUACAACCUUGUGAAAGACUCAAGGCACUUGAAGGAGGGGGCAAAGGCAGAGUCAGCUGAGGAGCUGAGACAGGAUGCCCGGGAGCUGGAGCGCAAGUUGGAGAUAGUCACCAAGAUCUAUGAAUGUCUGACAGAGGGCCCGACUCCAUGACCCCCCGCAGGGCAGGGAGCACGGACAUGUGUGGGGCAAAGACAUGCAGGUUCCUUAUUAGAGGGGAAGAGAGCACAAAAUAAAGGU
Long non-coding RNA from Ailuropoda melanoleuca (giant panda), 1030 nucleotides. RefSeq lists it as uncharacterized. The record is from RefSeq and is a predicted model, not a curated record. The transcript has 3 exons. Lineage: Eukaryota; Metazoa; Chordata; Mammalia; Carnivora; Ursidae.